AGGUGAAACGAGGGCCUUCUUCGGGGUUCUGAGAACUUCCUAGUGUGCUUCCACUGUUUGGGACAAAAGAAGUGUGCCGAGUUGUUGGGGUAUUUCCGCUUCACCUUUCAUGAAGGUAAGUCAGAGAGAUGCGUGGGGGAGCCCCAGGGCAGACCCCAAAUAUCCAACAGGAGGCUGACCAAUAUUUAAAAACCUGACUUUCAAUUAAUUAAAUCCUGAAGAACAGGUACCACGAGGUGAGGCGGCCUUGGUGGGCCGCAGGGUGGUGGCCGGCCUCCUGGCCUCCCCCGCCGCCGCCGCCGCCGCCGCCGUGACUCAGGGACGACGAGGCAGGGUGCGAGUACACGCUCAUGGGGGCCGGCAUGGCGGUGUAGCCGCCCCCGGCCGCCGCGGCCGCCGCGCGGUAGUAGCUCUGCUCGCCGCCGAGGUAGGGCACCACUCCCAGGGAGUUGGGGCUGGACACGGAGUAGCGCGCCUGCAUGGCCCCCGCUCGCCGCCGCCCCGCGCCGCCCGCCGCCCCCCACCCUCGCUCGGGCCGGGCCGCGCCGCGCCGGCCGCCGAGUCCGAGUCCGGGCCCGGCCGAGCUGGUGCCGGCCCGCUGCGCUGUGCGUCCGGCUGCGCUGCCGCCUCUCCCGGCGCUCGCUGGGGCUGGCUCCUCCGGCGCCUCGGGCUACCUCGGGGCCCGCGCGGCCGCGAGGCGGGGUCGCUGCGAGGGGAGAAGGCCGGGCCCGGCCGCGGCAGACCGCCUUGCAGGAACUCGCGGCGCAGCUUCCAGGCGCAAACGGGGGAAAGCAGACAAAAAGAAAGAACAAGCAGGCGCCCUCUUUGGAGGAGGGAGGGUUGCCCCGAGGUUGCUCUGAAUCCCGGGGCAGCUGCCUCCUGGCCUGCUGUGCGCCGGGGUCUCUGGAGACUCCUUUUCCAGGUGGUUUGCGGGCCAAGUCACUGGUGGGUUGGAGAAGCACCAACAGGAGGCUCAGCACUUGCUGGUUGCCAAGGACACUAGACAGGGGCGAGGGUGGUGGUGAAGCCCCAGGACCUGAACACUUAAUUCCUGUUCAGCCCCCAGCCCGGCACCCUGAAGGUCUUAUCAGCCCGCCUGGUCGAGGCUUUAAGGAGUGCUGUGGCUUCAGCCUGGAGGAGAUUUAAGUGGUCUCCCUGAACACCUCAGCAAGUGGUGAGUUCGGUCUUGAAGCUGCCUUUUACACUGCUAGCGGUGCGCGGAGAUGAACGCAGCGAUUACGGAUGCUUUGUUUUCCGAAUGCGGGAAACGCCUUCGGCCCCGAGUUUUGCAACAGGCAAUGGUGCCCCGCUGCCCCCUCCCCCACCAGCCUGUCGCCUCCUGCUCUUCCCUGCCUCCUCCCUCCAUCGGCCCAGUGAAGUGUAAACAGCUUGUUAUGUAAAUUGCAAAUCGACCUGCAGCGGUGUUCUCAGCUCUCCGUUUUGGGUAUAAAAGUCGCCGUUGUGAAAUUAGUGUCUGGCGUGCGAGAAAAAAUGGAGGGACGUAGUUUUAUCAAGAUCAACUUUCCACUGGUUUAGCUCUGGAUAUUCGCCAGGAAAAGAUAUUUGCAUUUGUGUUUUAUAAACUUACUCGGAAGCAAGCCUCCAGUAAGCGGCUUGAUUGUAUUUCAAGCACUUUUCUUAUUUCAUUUUUGUUGUUAGUGGUGUUAUUUGAACAUUAAGACGCAGGCAUGAAGUCUUUUGGGGAACAGGUUAAAGCUUUUAUUUUCAGGUUACAGUUUUUGAUGCCCCUUUCUGCUACUCCACGGGGUACUUCAAUCAUCCGCUUCCGCACAUCUCUUGACUCAUUUGGCAGAAGAGCCCCCACGGGAACCCUUCGGCUUCUUUUCUGACACCUCACGUACUUGCAGCCUGAAGGCCCCGCAGGCGACAGCGGUAAUGGAUGUUUGGUGGAACCCUCCCUGGGCCCACACUCCGCCCCUCCCCAGCAGGCCGGGCAACAAUUCCCAGGGCCCACCGAGGGGUGCUUAGCUCGGAGGAGGGGGAGUGACGUCACAGCGAUGUUCAAAACAAGGCCUCCCCUGGCCCCACCAUAGAAAAGCACCAGGAAGGGGAAUGUGGCGAGCACUCCAGGAAAUGCUCGGAUUGGGGACCAGGUGACACUGUAGGAAUGUGUGUGCUGGGGGAUGGGAUGGUGUCCUAAAUAUGGGUCACCAGGAGCCAGAAGGAGCUCUCUUUUUUCUUUUUCUUUUUCAAGUAAAGCAGAGGAGGUGGAGAUUGGGAUGGGGGCAGUCCGGAAAAAUCACUCCCUAGGGGUGUGAGCUUAGCUCGUGUUGUGCGGAUUGUCCCCGUCACAGCCCAAUCACCUCUGUGGUGUGCCUAGACGCCCUCUCCCUUACCUCCCCGCUUUCUGGCUUCUCCAUCCUCUGGGCUCUGGGUUCAGCCCUGAAAGCCGAACUGUGGGCUGCAGUGGGGAGGCGAGGGCAGGUAGAAACCAGCUUCAGGGGGGGCUCCACCUGGCCCAGGAGCUGGGGGACAACAGAAAAGGCAGGCUUAGGGCAUGAGGGAAGGCGCUUCUCCUGCUGCACUGGGGCAGUGAUUCCUGGGGGCUCUGCACACACAGGAGGGAGGCUGCAAGUCCACAGCUGCUUUAGCAUCUUUCCCUUUGCUGGGGCAGACAGAGUGGAAGAUUAAGGCAAUUAACCCCAGAGGGCCACUAGAAAACUGUCCACUAGGCUGCCAUCACAGACCACUGGAGCAAGGUCCGCUUGGGGAUGUCUUUGAGCUUUUUAGAUUACUUAGAUAAUUGUCUUAGUUCUCCAUUCGGCCUCCUUUGCUUAGACCAGAAUCCCAGGGGUAGGGGAGGAUAUCCUUGCAUCAAUGCCCGGCAUUCGUUUUCAAACCACCAGGCCGGCAGGCAACGUUAGUCAUCGGUGCGACUUUUCAGCGGAGGAAGGAGUGGGGACCGAACAUCUGGGUGGCCGCGACCUUGGGCAGAUACUCCUUAGCUGGGGGAUUUUCAAGUAGAGGAUUUGUCAGCACAGUCCCUCCAAUUCAGCCCCGUCCUUAGUAGAAAAAUUUCUACAAUAAACGAAAAGAGCGUUUGGUUUUCGAUUGUUUUAAAGACAAAGUGAUCCAUAUUGCCUGUCUACAUGGUUGGAUUAAUCCGAUAGUUGCCCUCCUGGGGGCAGACCUCCACGGGAAGUUUGUGUGAUGGGAUAAUUUAAUGUCAUCUAAGUCCCCUGGAGGGGCGGUUCCCCUAACUACUCACCCAGGAGAAAGCCAGCCAACACCUACCUGAUCGUUCCCGCCUCGGGAUGGCCCACCUAUCGCCCCUUGGCAGGAAAGCCCCCGCCUCGAAGGGCGUUUCGGGGGCUCAGAGCCGAGCUAAGCUGCAAGAGGGGGCCAUGGGGAAUGCGGGAAGUGAAUCUUUAACUUUGGUGCCCGGCUUCAAAAGACUCAGGGCUUCUUGUGUUCAGGCAGAGGUAAAUGGAGAUUCAAACUGUCGUCUUGCAUUAACAAUCCGGAAUAAAAAUAAAAUUCGUAAAGGGAUAGAUGAUCGGAAAGAACAAAUGGUGCAUGUGUGCGCGAACGAGCCCCAGUUUCUCUCCAUCCAGGUCCCCAGCGGACUCAGAGCGGCCGCCGCACUCCACGGCCUGGGAGGACAGAGGCCCCGCAGCCUCCCAACCUCGGCUCAUGUGGGGGGCGCGCCGCGCAGGGUGGGCGAGUCCCCAGGCCCCAGAGUCUGCCGGAGCCAGGGUGCGCGGUGCGGCGGGAGCCGGCCGUCGGAGGACUGCAGGGCGAAAGCGCCUUCCUGGGGCUGGAGCAGAAGGCGUGUGCCCCUGCACGGACGCGCCUUGGCUGUGGGUGUGGGAAGAAAGGCUUUGCCCCGUGAGACAGACCCACAGACAGCCCCGGAGCCGCCGGCGGGGUGAGGUGGGCUGCAACCUUGCAGGUGGCUGGCUGUUCCCAGGUCUCCGGCCCGGCGCCGCAGCGGACCCAGGCGCCGGGGCCGCAGCCAGCCUUCCUUCCGAGUGCUCCCUUCGCGGAACCCUGCGCCCUGGGACCUUCCUUCCGACGUCCCUCACCCCGGCCGGGGAGUGGCACCAACGCGGACGCACCGCCGGGCCUCCUGCGGGUAAGGCGCGGUCGGCCCCCAGCUCUGAGCCUUCUGGGCAGGAGCCCCGGGGGCCUGGGCCGGGGCCGGUGUUUGCACCUCUCAGGACAGGGACAAGGCCGACACCCGGCUCGGUGCAGCCGGCCUCCCCCGAGGACCUGAGGGCCGACGCCUCCGGGAACCGCUGGUCCUCGCGAGUGGGUCGGCGCCUGGCAGCGCGCGCCGGUGACCUGGUGGUCCGUCUGCUCCCAGGCCGCCCCUCACAGGCUUCCCGCCGCUUCCCCGCGAGCGUCAGCAGAAAAAGGGACGAUGUGGAAGCCCGGAGGCCCCUUGGCCGACCCAGGCUGGGGCUCUCAGGCUGGGGGCACCUCACCCCGGCAGGUCCCGCGCCUCGGGAACCCGGGGCCAGGCAGCCGUCCUGGGCGCCCGCACCGCGCACUGCGCGUGCUACGAGCGCCCCCUGCCGUCGGAGGCGUUGUCUCCGCGGCGCCUCUGCCCGCGCCGGGCUCCAAGGGCCGGCUCCGCCUGUCCCCGCACAGCGUCCCCUGGGAACCGGGUCUCCAGAGAAGGAGGCCUGGGGAAGACCGCGCCGCCCGCGUGGGACCCCGCAGGGCCUGGCACCUGGUUUUCUAGGCUGCAACUCUCAUCCCUCAGGGUCCGGGCGGGAACAGCCCCAUCGGGGAGACCCUCUCAGACUUCCAGGCACAGACCACGGACGCUUUUGUUCCUGGAGUGGAGGGAGGUGACCCGAGACUGGGGCUUUCAGCCACCGCUACGCAUUCCUUCCAGGCGGCCCUUUUAAUUGACGUACACGUUACAGAAAAAGCAAGGCCGCUCCAUCCAGUGAAUUACAUUGUGGGAGAUGCCAAGGAAUGUAUUUACUGGCAGCCAGGUUUGCCAAUAAAAGUUGCAAAUAAAGACUGCUGGUUUCCAGGAAAAUGUACUUCUGUUUUUUAAACACUCCUUAGUCUUAAUUACCAAAAACUGAGCCUCCAAAGAACCGGUUUCGAGAACAGGACCAGUGAGUGGCGGUGCUGGCGAGGCCUCACACCCCCACGUGCAAUCACACACCCCGAUGUCGCCUAUGGGAACAAGGACCAUGCACACCUAUGGCUUUGCCCACAGAGAGGCUCGCCCGUAUUUACAUACGCAGCAGACACAGACACAGGCGAAACGUUGGCACACAGAGAGGUAUGCGCUCGGAUUAGGGCUGUUUAGUUUGGAAGUGAAGAAAUAAGAAAAGACAAACUAUGGCAAACAGGCGAAUUUCCACAGAAAUAAAUGUCUGCGAGGAAAGGAGGCACUUGCUCUGUAGUGUUUAGUUAUGGUCGCCCUGGUAGUUCUUUUUAGUCCGACCGGGUUGACUAUAAAUGAAGGCAGCAGAGAAAUGCAGAAUUUACAUUUACUAAAGGUCCGCUUUGGCUUGGGGUCACAAGGACCCCAGUGGGAAUUAGAAAAUCUCCCCACUCACUAGAUGGAGCAGCACCUCCCCCCACAAAAAAAGGGGUUUGGGGCAGAGUGUGCACGCUAAUGAGAGGCAAAUUUAUUCCAUGUUUCUCCAAUCUUAAACACGGACACUCAUAACCACAAUUAUAAAGACUGGUAGGAUGCACAGAACACUUAGUAUGCGGUCAUCCUGCUGUGUGCUUUAAACACUCCUUUCACCUAAUCCUCACAAGGACGCUGACAUGGAUAUUAUGAUCUACAUCUUACACAUGAGGAAACUGAGCUUAAAGAAAAGAGAGAGCUUUCCCAAGAUUACACAGCCCUCGCAGUUGCACUCUGCACAGGCUCACUGGAUCUAAGACGCCACUUAUGAUAAGGUACAGUGCUUAUGAGCCACUAAGAGGGGAAAAAACUAAAUUAUUAAAUAUCAUCAGUGGUAAAUCUCAUCUCCGUUUCAGUUGCUAAAAUGAAAAAAAAAAUGUGCAUUUCAGAUCGAUGAUACGU
RNAcentral lists this long non-coding RNA (6025 nucleotides) under Homo sapiens (human). RNAcentral describes it as "non-protein coding lnc-GMDS-6:2". The record is from RNAcentral. Lineage: Eukaryota; Metazoa; Chordata; Mammalia; Primates; Hominidae.